Eucalyptus grandis is the source of this 542-nucleotide long non-coding RNA. RefSeq lists it as uncharacterized. NCBI's taxonomy places the organism in Eukaryota, Viridiplantae, Streptophyta, Magnoliopsida, Myrtales, Myrtaceae. The record is from RefSeq and is a predicted model, not a curated record. The transcript is spliced from 2 exons.
CUUCAUGGGUCGUAUUCUCCCAAGAUCCAAAAUCGAAUCUUUCUUUGCCUGCGUCUCGGUGGGAGUUGCAGCAGUUGCAGAUUCAUGCCUGCUCUAUGGUGAAUCUGCAGGCGCAUUGCCUUCUCUACGUUGCAUAAAGCAAACAUUGAAACGAAGGGGGAAAAGAUUGGAUGGGUGAUGUAUUAAUCCACCAUGAACACGAUUCAGACAUCUCUCAACACUUCAACACGAGACUUUUAUAGUUUCAGCUCUAGUGUAAUAAUUUGUACCCUGAUUGCAGCAUUCGUUUGAAGAAACGAGGGAAUCACUUCCCCAAGCACAGCCACUGGCCAGCCUCCUUUUAUUUCGCAAAAUGGCUUUGUUGGAAAAGGUUAGCAUGACAAUGACUCUGGUGACGAAAUAUUUCAUCACAUAGGAACACUUUUUUAGACACCCAAACCAUCGGAAGUUUGAAUUGAAGCUGAUUGGUUUGAAUGUGGCUUCUUUAUAGUUUGCACUCUUUCCGUGGAUGCUAUCCUAUUUCAGAUGUCAAGUUUAAUGGA